RNAcentral lists this ribosomal RNA (253 nucleotides) under uncultured bacterium. RNAcentral describes it as "partial 16S ribosomal RNA". It matches the Rfam family "Bacterial small subunit ribosomal RNA", at positions 524 to 776 of the family's 1533-position model. The record is from RNAcentral.
UACGUAGGGUGCAAGCGUUGUCCGGAAUUAUUGGGCGUAAAGAGCUCGUAGGCGGUCUGUCGCGUCGACUGUGAAAACCCGGGGCUCAACCCCGGGCCUGCAUUCGAUACGGGCAGACUAGAGUUCGGUAGGGGAGUCUGGAAUUCCUGGUGUAGCGGUGAAAUGCGCAGAUAUCAGGAGGAACACCGGUGGCGAAGGCGGGACUCUGGGCCGAUACUGACGCUGAGGAGCGAAAGCGUGGGGAGCGAGCAGG